GCCCACCGCCCACCGCCCACCGCCCUCGAGAGGGAAAAGCCUCGGCUCACACAGCCGUCCAGACCCAGUAUUCUACACCAAAAUCCCAGGUAAAUUGGCUUCGUCUCCCCGCUCUGCGGCGAUGGAAGAAGGAGGAGGUGCAGAGCACCGCGAAUUCCAUCGCCACGGCCUCGCGCAGCCGCCUCGCCCUUCUCCGGCAUCUCGCGAUCCAUGGCAGACGUUUGUUGGAACAGACAGAUUAGUCAACAAAGAAAAAUUAAGUGGCGGAGAAUCUUCCUAAAAUGAAAUCAAGACGAUGAGAUAAGCAUGGAGAUUUAAUGUGGUUUGUUGGAGAUGCUUAAGGUAGGAGAUGAAGGACAGUUGGAAGGGGAUAAUGGAGGACAAUUAUAGCUUCACUAGAGCCUGGGGCGGAGAGGUGGGGGCCGUCUCUGCAGGUUCGCAGUGCAGCUGGGCCAAACAUCGCUUACAGUUUAAGCUGUAGCCUGUUAUGAAGUAAAAGCUGCGGAGGUACAGUUUCGGCCACUGUGUGCGGGAAGAUGAGAGGUCGAGCAGUAGCAAUUGGCACAUGUAGGUUCCACGGGGCACUCAGCGAGAUUCAAUCUUAACGUGACAUUUAGGCCGACCUUUUAUUAUGGAUCGCUGGGGGGAAGAAUCGUAAAAGUUUCGGGUGUCAACAAAUUGUGUCGCUGCGGAAAAGAGGGAUCAGACCAAAGCAGUGGCCUUGGUAGGGCAAGGUGUGAUAUUCACAUUGGUAUUAUCCUCGAUGACACAAAGGUUCAUGCCCAAGCACCCAUAUUUUAAUGGUUUAUAGUCGGGAUAUUUUCUUGAGUUGGGAUUUGCAUCUCCCAGAGGGAAGACCAGGGCGUACGCAUGCCACCUUUCGCGGCCGUGGGGGUUGAAAAUGGCUGCUCCUAUUGGAUGAUGGGAAAAGGUACCACAAGAUAACGUCUUGGGGCCUACCGCCGGCGACCACAUCGCAUCGGGGCAUGCCUUCGGUACCACACGCACUGAUGACUGCCAGUAAUCACUAAGCAGUGCAUUAAGGACGGUCGAUGCCGGCAGUUUCUUGUGUGUAAUAUAUAUACAAAACAGGCAGGGGGCAGCAAAAGCCAUAGACAGCGGAGGGACCACCAUGGAUGGUGUUCAUGGAUGCUGGACAGUUGCAGAUAACUCACCUAUCCUUUUAUUCUAUGGUAUACACGAUAGCCAGCUAGGAUAUCAUGAGAUCAAACCAGAUACUCUUGGCUGUGUGAAUUGGCUGGCAGAGAGUAGCUUGAUCUAUCCAGAUUUAAUUCCCAAGAGACAAAAAAAAAAGAAACUAUGGUCAUUAAAACUUAAAAUGGACUGAAGACAUAAAAUUAUAAAGCCUCGUUUGAGAUACUAGCUAUAGUUUUGACGUACUAUGAACAGUGCUAGGUUUAAUUCGUUUUAGGUGGGAUAUUUGUACUAUGUACGACUGCCAAAAGAAUAUAAUAUUAUGGACAGUUAAGUAAAGAUGCAUACUGUAGUGUCAACUGUUGCUGAUUGGAACUACUACUUGGCAGCCGCAGCAUGGGUACUACUCCCGGUAGUACUUAAAUCCAUGGGAGGGCUCAGCACUGGAGGUACGACCACCUAUCCCAUCCAUCUCCUCUGCUCCAAAACCAAGCACCAAGAGCCCUUUCUCUCACCACCUCUCCUUUCAAUUCCAGUACGGCGGCCGCUCACCGGAUCCAAGAAGAAAAAACCUCUCCCAUUUCCUGUUGUGUUCGGAGGUUUUAUUUGGGUUUCCUUUUGGAUUUUUUGGGUUGUUUGAUACUUUUGUGGCGGAAUUUGUUCUUCGGUUGUGCAAUCUGCGAAGUAAUGUUAGCUCCUGGUGUGGGGAGGCCCUCGAGAGAUUGACAGAAGAGAGUGAGCACACGGCGUGAUGCCGGCAUAACAUGUAUGCCGUCUUCGCCGCGUGCUCACUCCUCUUUCUGUCAGCCUCUUUCUAUCAGGAGUUUACGUUACAUUCAGAUCCACUGGUGGGUAUGUAGAACUAAUUCGACUCAAUUUCAAUUCAAUAGUUCAUAAUUUUCCACACAAAAAGGAAGGUUAACCCCUGCUUAUGAGAGGAACUCAGCCACAAAAGAAAGGCAGAACACGCAUGCGACAUGUACUCUGGCUUUUCUCCGACUUUACCAUGCCACUUCCUUAUCUCUUUAGAUGUGUGCGCACGCAAAAAAAUGAAGUAAAAAAAAUGCUCUGUUGUUUUGAUCUUUUCAGUCAAGUUGCUCCUGGGAACUACUACCGAGGAGAGUGAUACGGAUGCUAGUGGUAAUUGUAAGGAGUGGCAGCUGUAGGCGCUUGUAGUACUGGAAUAAAUGAUUGGAUUUGUUACUUGUUUUUUUCAUCCCCAAAUUGUUUUAUCUUCUCUCUUUGCAGUUGUACUCGCCUUGGGAGCUGAAUCAUGGAGAUGCUGCCGGUACACUGCAACAUGCACCCUCCUCUCUCUCUCUCUCUCACCCUAGCAACCCCCCUUCUUCUUUCCUGUUGCCUUGUUUUCCAUGGAAGCAGGUUUUAGCCAUGGUGGUGGGGCUUCAUCAAGUUCUUGUUGGGGUAAAAAUGGAGCAUGGAGUAAGCUAAGAGAUGAGCCAUAUUUGGCAAGGAAGGUGGCCUCACUUUGCUUUUGCCAGAUCUAGUUUGCAUCUUAGGAUAAGAGCAUCAUGUUAAUAGCGAACGUAACAAGCUGCACCAUCAAUUUGGACAAGCAGGAAGAGUCCUUCACACAUGGUCUGUAUGGAGUUGGAAUUGUUGGGUACUGGAAUUUUUCUUGGGUCUUCCUCGACCCAUACGGAUUCAACUCCUAUCAAAAAGUUUGAAGGCACAUGGCUCAGUUAACGAUGCAACCAUUGUAUCACUGGCGAUAGUUGGUUCUUCAUCAGAUAAGAAGCACUUGGUUCACUGAAUGGUUAAUCUCUGUGUUGAAUGAAACUGAUUCGACAGGUAUGCAUACACGAGAUCAAAAAGGGAGUUAGAGGAGGCAUACACAAGAUCACCACGAACAACAAGCAGAAGCUGGCCAAAACAGCAUGGCUCAACGAAUGAGAGUUCAAAGAGGGCUGCCAAGUGCCAACUUGAUCGGUUUGUUGUACCCGCUGAGUCAGACAAGAUGAACAACUAGAUGCUGGGGGAGAACAUCGACCAGGGAAAAUAUUUCGCAUGCAUCACUGAAGUUGCUCUGUAGCGGUGUACAGUUCCAGGCAACAGUGCAGGUCAACA
RNAcentral lists this ribosomal RNA (3240 nucleotides) under Triticum aestivum (bread wheat). RNAcentral's name for it is "partial small subunit ribosomal RNA". The stretch from base 1878 to 1962 matches the Rfam family "mir-156 microRNA precursor family". Lineage: Eukaryota; Viridiplantae; Streptophyta; Magnoliopsida; Poales; Poaceae. The record is from RNAcentral.